CAACGGCAUCAUGGUGGUCCAUGCAGGGCCAGCCUCCUGCAGAUUUUUGUGAGUUUAGGCUCACCAUCAUAGAGGAGCAGGCUGGCACAGUCAGUUAACAGCACACUAACCUAUGGAAAGGCUUCUGUGACUACUUAACAAACUGGAGUUAUCUUAUUGUCUUAUUAACCCUAAUUAGAAAGGAAGUUUUAUGGGCGACAUCCAGAUGCAGAAAAAAAAACAUGAAGAGUAGCUGGAAACAAGGCGAUUUCUACCAUUGAAAUGCAUCCUGCCCAAACAGCUGCCAUACUGUCUGUCUGCAGUCCUGCCUGGUAUGGAAAGCCAUCAGGCGCUUAUCCAGUCAGAGCCGUGAGAUGUUCUUUCUUCUUCCGAAGGUGUCCUUGGUUCUCAUGCCUGCUUACCUUACAAUACAGCUGCUGCUCUGAACAGUUUUUCUUGUAUUCCCACAAUAUGUGUGUGUUUAUACGGAAGUUUAUAAAUAUUUAUUAAUUUGUAUGCACAUUUCUGUAGCUCAAAGAUUUAUGAAAAAAAUCAUUUUGGCAACAGUAGAAAGAUACAAUAAAAUGCACUUUUAAAAUAUUUGUGAAAAGCUUUUCUAUGUAAUAAUAUGGGAAGACACUGCAUGUAUCCAGUGACAAAUUAUUAAAAAUUAUUAAAACUUCCCUCUGGUAAAACUGCAGGUGUUUGCAAGAGUCUGCUCCAGUUGUUCUAUCAGCACUCAACACAAACUUGAUGCUGCUGAGAAA
Long non-coding RNA from Tympanuchus pallidicinctus (lesser prairie-chicken), 746 nucleotides. RefSeq lists it as uncharacterized. The record is from RefSeq and is a predicted model, not a curated record. Lineage: Eukaryota; Metazoa; Chordata; Aves; Galliformes; Phasianidae. The transcript has 3 exons.